RNAcentral lists this ribosomal RNA (451 nucleotides) under uncultured bacterium. RNAcentral describes it as "bacterial SSU rRNA". It matches the Rfam family "Bacterial small subunit ribosomal RNA", at positions 330 to 795 of the family's 1533-position model. The record is from RNAcentral.
GCCAGACUCCUACGGGAGGCAGCAGUGGGGAAUAUUGGACAAUGGGGGGAACCCUGAUCCAGCGACGCCGCGUGAGUGAAGAAGUAUUUCGGUAUGUAAAGCUCUAUCAGCAGGGAAGAAAGAAAUGACGGUACCUGACUAAGAAGCCCCGGCUAACUACGUGCCAGUAGCCGCGGUAAUACGUAGGGGGCAAGCGUUAUCCGGAUUUACUGGGUGUAAAGGGAGCGUAGACGGCAUGGCAAGUCAGAUGUGAAAGCCCGGGGCUCAACCCCGGGACUGCAUUUGAAACUGUCAGGCUGGAGUGCAGGAGAGGUAAGUGGAAUUCCUAGUGUAGCGGUGAAAUGCGUAGAUAUUAGGAGGAACACCAGUGGCGAAGGCGGCUUACUGGACUGUAACUGACGUUGAGGCUCGAAAGCGUGGGGAGCAAACAGGAUUAGAUACCCCAGUAGUU